This 492-nucleotide ribosomal RNA is filed under the name uncultured Anaerolineaceae bacterium. RNAcentral's name for it is "bacterial SSU rRNA". It matches the Rfam family "Bacterial small subunit ribosomal RNA", at positions 903 to 1382 of the family's 1533-position model. The record is from RNAcentral. Lineage: Bacteria; Bacillati; Chloroflexota; Anaerolineae; Anaerolineales; Anaerolineaceae.
CCGUUGCCAGCCCGACUCAGAACUUAAAGGAAGUUGACGGGGACCCGCACAAGCAGCGGAGCGUGUGGUUUAAUUCGAUGCUACACGAAGAACCUUACCAAGGUUUGACAUGUAAGUGGUAGUGAUCUGAAAAGUGAACGACCCUUCGGGGAGCUUACACAGGUGCUGCAUGGCUGUCGUCAGCUCGUGUCGUGAGAUGUUCGGUUAAGUCCGCUAACGAGCGCAACCCUCACUGUGUGUUACAUGUGUCACACGGGACUGCCGGUUUUAAGCCGGAGGAAGGCGAGGAUGACGUCAAGUCAGCAUGGCCUUUAUAUCUUGGGCUACACACACGCUACAAUGGUCUGUACAAUAGGUUGCCAAGCCGCGAGGCGGAGCCAAUCCUUAAAGCAGGCCUCAGUUCAGAUUGCAGGCUGCAACCCGCCUGCAUGAAGAUGGAGUUGCUAGUAACCGCAGGUCAGCUAUACUGCGGUGAAUACGUUCCCGGGCCUU